RNAcentral lists this transfer RNA (73 nucleotides) under Vicugna pacos (alpaca). Its description in RNAcentral is "tRNA-Ala (AGC) (tRNA-Ala-AGC-34-1)". It matches the Rfam family "tRNA". Rfam says of the family: Transfer RNA (tRNA) molecules are approximately 80 nucleotides in length. Lineage: Eukaryota; Metazoa; Chordata; Mammalia; Artiodactyla; Camelidae. The record is from RNAcentral.
GGUGGGUAUAGCUCAGUGGUAGAGUGCAUGCUUAGCAUGCAUGAGGUCCUGGGUUCAAUCCCCAGUACCUCCA